This 465-nucleotide ribosomal RNA is filed under the name Vreelandella stevensii. RNAcentral's name for it is "partial 16S ribosomal RNA". It matches the Rfam family "Bacterial small subunit ribosomal RNA", at positions 338 to 795 of the family's 1533-position model. Lineage: Bacteria; Pseudomonadati; Pseudomonadota; Gammaproteobacteria; Oceanospirillales; Halomonadaceae. The record is from RNAcentral.
CCUACGGGAGUCAGCAGUGGGGAAUAUUGGACAAUGGGCGAAAGCCUGAUCCAGCCAUGCCGCGUGUGUGAAGAAGGCCUUCGGGUUGUAAAGCACUUUCAGUGGGGAAGAAAGCCUUGGGGCUAAUACCCUCGAGGAAGGACAUCACCCACAGAAGAAGCACCGGCUAACUCCGUGCCAGCAGCCGCGGUAAUACGGAGGGUGCGAGCGUUAAUCGGAAUUACUGGGCGUAAAGCGCGCGUAGGCGGUCUGAUAAGCCGGUUGUGAAAGCCCCGGGCUCAACCUGGGAACGGCAUCCGGAACUGUCAGGCUAGAGUGCAGGAGAGGAAGGUAGAAUUCCCGGUGUAGCGGUGAAAUGCGUAGAGAUCGGGAGGAAUACCAGUGGCGAAGGCGGCCUUCUGGACUGACACUGACGCUGAGGUGCGAAAGCGUGGGUAGCAAACAGGAUUAGAUACCCGUGUCGUC